This is a long non-coding RNA of Amphibalanus amphitrite, 664 nucleotides long. RefSeq lists it as uncharacterized. The record is from RefSeq and is a predicted model, not a curated record. NCBI's taxonomy places the organism in Eukaryota, Metazoa, Arthropoda, Thecostraca, Balanomorpha, Balanidae. The transcript has 3 exons.
CAUCUGUCAUCGUGAAUGGGGCCGUGCCGACGCGUCAGACGGGACGAACGGGGGAAGUCGGUCCAGAGUCACUGCGCCGCGCGGUUGUGUGAGCAAGCCGUGGGCUAGGUACCGCUCCAGGUCAGACAAUGGUUGGCACUGAAGAGUGCAGCGACACUACAGAGCUGUGAUUUGUGAACGAAGACGGUGAACGGCGAGAUGUGGUGACCGCUUGACUGACCUGUGCCCAAAGUCGUGAUCUACCGCUGGGGUCAGUGCGUGAGAAGCUGGACUCGGCACCAACGGAGGACGCAGCUCGACGAGGAAGAUAUGCUGUGUUGAGGGACGUCUGCCGGUUACGACCGGAAGGCUUCCGACGGGACUUGGCAGAACCCACAACAGCAGUAUGAACCCGGCGUGGAGUUAAUGCGUAAUUGCUCGCAUGAGCAACCGAAGAGCGACUUCCAGGCGAAGCUGCCGCAGAAUUCCUGGAGAUGCGUUGGGACAUUGAUCAUAGCAAGGUGGCUCUCAGCGGCAGCUGACCGCUGAGAUGUGUCUGAAACAGCCAGAAGGAAGACUCGAGUUGUGGAUCCAGGGCACUACUGAACGGAAGGCCGGACCAGCUGUAGGGAGACUACAGAAAAGCCGUCGUUCUCAAUCUGCUGAACAGACUCCUACUGCAGAG